Long non-coding RNA from Phyllopteryx taeniolatus (common seadragon), 926 nucleotides. RefSeq lists it as uncharacterized. The record is from RefSeq and is a predicted model, not a curated record. The transcript has 3 exons. Lineage: Eukaryota; Metazoa; Chordata; Actinopteri; Syngnathiformes; Syngnathidae.
GCGGCGACGGAGGGGGCGGUCCUCUUCACGUGAGCGUGGCUGCGGAGACGAAGCUAAAGGCAGCACCGGGCCAUCAUCGGCUUGUCCGGGUGUCCGUCGGCGGCCUGCAGGCGAGAGACAGACAGAUGCUCGUGCUUAAGUCGAUCCCGAGCGUCGCUACGGAAAGCCCUCGAGUUAAGGACACGCCCCUGACCCUUCAAGAGGCUUCGGCGUUCACUGGGCAGCCGUGGCCCAAUGGUUAAGAUCAUCGCCUGCCACCGUGGGGGACCUAGGUUCAAAACCCCGACUGGACCAUCCGCCAACAUCCUCCGGACUCACGGCUGUGGUGUCCUUGAGCAAGACACCGAUACCCCGAAAUGCUCCCCGGGCGCUUCAGCUGCCCCCUGCUCCGCCAUCGUUCCCUGGAAUCUCCGCGAUUGACGAGAUUAACGAGGAAGUUUCCAGAGAACGACGAGGCCCGCCUCUCUCAAGGCAUCUUAACGAAUGUCGUUUUGCAUCUUAUAUUCAGCUGUACAAAAUGUGCUAAGUCAGUAUUGUUUGGUUGUUCUUUGUUGAGGUUAAAUGAUUGAGUCUCUUCGCAAGGACGGCGUUGUAUGUUGGAGAUACAGUAGGUGUCAUGGUCUGUGUUUUGGGUUUGGGUUGUGUUUAGUUUUGUUCCAUGUUUUCCUGUGUUCCAUGUUUGUCGUGUGCUCAUUAGGUUGUUGUGUCCACCUGUUCUCGUCUAUUUUGUGUCGACCAAUCAGCUCUCUCCAGCCACUCGUGUCUUGUCCAGGUGUUCCUCGUUGUCUCGUCAAUUUGUUUGUAUUUAGUUCCCUGGGUUCUUUCAGUCCUUGUCGGUUCAUUGUCGUUGUCACAUGUCUUGCCAUGUCAUAGUCGCCAGUUGUUUUAUCAUUGUGAUUAAAUAUUAUUAUUUUGAGAUUCCCGCA